This 842-nucleotide ribosomal RNA is filed under the name uncultured archaeon. RNAcentral's name for it is "bacterial SSU rRNA". It matches the Rfam family "Archaeal small subunit ribosomal RNA", at positions 15 to 859 of the family's 1478-position model. The record is from RNAcentral.
UGCCAGAGGUUACUGCUAUCGGUGUUCGCCUAAGCCAUGCGAGUCAUAUGUGGCAAUACAUGGCGUACUGCUCAGUAACACGUGGAUAACCUGCCCUUGGGACCGGCAUAACCCCGGGAAACUGGGGAUAAUUCCGGAUAACGCAUAUUUGCUGGAAUGCUUUAUGCGUCAAAAGGAUUCGUCUGCCCAAGGAUGGGUCUGCGGCCUAUCAGGUAGUAGUGGGUGUAAUGUACCUACUAGCCAGCGACGGGUACGGGUUGUGAGAGCAAGAGCCCGGAGAUGGAUUCUGAGACAUGAAUCCAGGCCCUACGGGGCGCAGCAGGCGCGAAAACUUCACAAUGCGGGAAACCGUGAUAAGGGGACACCGAGUGCCAGCAUCAUAUGCUGGCUGUCCGGAUGUGUAAAAUACAUCCGUUAGCAAGGGCCGGGCAAGACCGGUGCCAGCCGCCGCGGUAACACCGGCGGCCCGAGUGGUGAUCGUGAUUAUUGGGUCUAAAGGGUCCGUAGCCGGUUUGGUCAGUCCUCCGGGAAAUCUGAUAGCUCAACUAUUAGGCUUUCGGGGGAUACUGCCAGACUUGGAACCGGGAGAGGUAAGAGGUACUACAGGGGUAGGAGUGAAAUCUUGUAAUCCCUGUGGGACCACCUGUGGCGAAGGCGUCUUACCAGAACGGGUUCGACGGUGAGGGACGAAAGCUGGGGGCACGAACCGGAUUAGAUACCCGGGUAGUCCCAGCCGUAAACGAUGCUCGCUAGGUGUCAGGCAUGGCGCGACCGUGUCUGGUGCCGCAGGGAAGCCGUGAAGCGAGCCACCUGAGAGGUACGGCCGCAAGGCUGAAACUUAA